GUGGGGAAUAUUGGACAAUGGGCGAAAGCCUGAUCCAGCCAUGCCGCGUGUGUGAAGAAGGUCUUCGGAUUGUAAAGCACUUUAAGUUGGGAGGAAGGGUAGUAACCUAAUACGUUGCUACUUUGACGUUACCGACAGAAUAAGCACCGGCUAACUUCGUGCCAGCAGCCGCGGUAAUACGAAGGGUGCAAGCGUUAAUCGGAAUUACUGGGCGUAAAGCGCGCGUAGGUGGUUCAGUAAGUUGGAAGUGAAAUCCCCGGGCUCAACCUGGGAACUGCUUUCAAAACUGCUGAGCUAGAGUACGGUAGAUGGUGGUGGAAUUUCCUGUGUAGCGGUGAAAUGCGUAGAUAUAGGAAGGAACACCAGUGGCGAAGGCGACCACCUGGACUGAUACUGACACUGAGGUGCGAAAGCGUGGGGAGCAAACAGGAUUAGAAACCCUGGUAGUCC
This 450-nucleotide ribosomal RNA is filed under the name uncultured bacterium. Its description in RNAcentral is "bacterial SSU rRNA". It matches the Rfam family "Bacterial small subunit ribosomal RNA", at positions 354 to 796 of the family's 1533-position model. The record is from RNAcentral.